Molecule: long non-coding RNA, 404 nt
Organism: Catharus ustulatus (Swainson's thrush)
Lineage: Eukaryota; Metazoa; Chordata; Aves; Passeriformes; Turdidae
Exons: 3
Source: RefSeq, a predicted model, not a curated record
CUACAGGUAAAGCCACAGCUGCAGCUAAAGUUGCAGGUACAGUUGCAGCUAAAGUUGCAGGUACAGCUGCAACUGGAAGUGCAGUCAUCGUUGUAGCUGUUGUUGUACUCGGUUUGGCAGUGGUCGCUGCAGGAACAUAUGUAGCAGUGAAAAGGGGCUUAGGGACGAAAUUUUGUGUGAAGGUGAAAGGAGUUUUUGACUUCACAUAUGAAACUGGGGGAAAACAAAUGGCCUGACACUGCUCUGCAAGCAGUAGCCCUUGCCUUGCUGCCCAAAGGACGAACUGAUAAUUACUGCUAAUGAAGAUAACCACCUUUCCUGCCUUGCAAGUGUGUCUUCCCAGUGCAGGAAAUGGAAAUCCGCCUCUGACACUCAGCUGCUCAAUGAAAAGAUUUGCACUGUUU